AGCCAGUGACAAAAGUGUCUACGCGUUCACCUGCAAAGUAGAAAAUAACCUGGGCAGUGACAAACGAAAUACCUUUCUUUUCAUAGCAAGUAAUGUAAUUAACGUGACCCUGGUUAUCACGAGUGAAGAGUGUACUGAUGGGAAAUACAGUCAACCAUGGGAGAAACUCAACAAAACGAUAGACGAGGUGUUUGCUGGUAAACUGGGCUAUGAAAGUGUGCAACUGAAAAGUAUCAGGUAUUCAAACAGUUUCAGAUCGAGUUCUUAAACUUCAAAAAUUUUCCUUUGGACUUACAUUUUGGGCGGAAAACUUUCGGACGUUUUGU
Long non-coding RNA from Orbicella faveolata, 326 nucleotides. The record is from RefSeq and is a predicted model, not a curated record. NCBI's taxonomy places the organism in Eukaryota, Metazoa, Cnidaria, Anthozoa, Scleractinia, Merulinidae.